This 118-nucleotide transfer RNA is filed under the name Marmota monax (woodchuck). RNAcentral describes it as "tRNA.Ile". Lineage: Eukaryota; Metazoa; Chordata; Mammalia; Rodentia; Sciuridae. The record is from RNAcentral.
UGGGAUGUAGCUCAUUGGUACAGUUUUUGCUUGAUAAAUAUAUAUAUAUAUAUAUAUAUAUAUAUAUAUAUAUAUAUAUAUAUAUAUAUAUUCCUGGGUUCAAUCCCCAGAACCCCAC